AUUGAACGCUGGCGGCAGGCCUAACACAUGCAAGUCGAGCGGAUGAAGGGAGCGUGCUCUUGGAUUCAGCGGCGGAGGGGUGAGUAAUUCCUAGGAAUCUGCCUGUUAGUGGGGGAUUACGUCCUGAAAUGGGUGCUAUUACAGUAAUCGUCCUGACGGAGAAAGGGGGGGAGCCUUGGACCUCACGCUCUCAGAUGAGCCUAGGUCGGAUUAGCUAGUUGGUGGGGUAAAGGCCUACCAAGGCGCCGACCCGUAACUGGUCUGAGAGGAUGAUCAGUCACACUGGAACUGAGACACGGUCCAGACUCCUACGGGAGGCAGCAGUGGGGAAUAUUGGACAAAGGGCGAAAGCCUGAUCCAGCCAUGCCGCGUGUGUGAAGAAGGUCUUCGGAUUGUAAAGCACUUUGGGUUGGGAGGAAGAGCAGUAAGUUAAUACCUUGCUGUUUUGACGUUACCAACAGAAUAAGCACCGGCUAACUUCGUG
This 484-nucleotide ribosomal RNA is filed under the name uncultured bacterium. RNAcentral's name for it is "partial 16S ribosomal RNA". It matches the Rfam family "Bacterial small subunit ribosomal RNA", at positions 30 to 507 of the family's 1533-position model. The record is from RNAcentral.